UCAACGCUGGCGGCGUGCCUAACACAUGCAAGUCGAGCGAGAAAGGGGGCUUCGGUCCCUGAGUACAGCGGCGGACGGGUGAGUAACGCGUGGGUAAUCUGCCCUUGAGUGGGGAAUAACACCGGGAAACUGGUGCUAAUACCGCAUGACGUUCCCGGGCCCUUGGGUUCGGGAAUCAAAGCUGGGGACCGCAAGGCCCAGCGCUCGGGGAGGAGCCCGCGUCCGAUUAGCUUGUUGGUGAGGUAAUGGCUCACCAAGGCUUCGAUCGGUAGCCGGCCUGAGAGGGCGGACGGCCACACUGGGACUGAGACACGGCCCAGACUCCUACGGGAGGCAGCAGUGGGGAAUUUUGCGCAAUGGGGGAAACCCUGACGCAGCAACGCCGCGUGGAGGAUGAAGGCCUUCGGGUCGUAAACUCCUGUCAAUCGGGACGAAAGCGCUCCGGCCUAACAGGUCGGGACGUUGACUGUACCGGUGGAGGAAGCUCCGGCUAACUCU
RNAcentral lists this ribosomal RNA (498 nucleotides) under uncultured bacterium. RNAcentral's name for it is "bacterial SSU rRNA". It matches the Rfam family "Bacterial small subunit ribosomal RNA", at positions 32 to 504 of the family's 1533-position model. The record is from RNAcentral.